AGUUGGCUAGAAGAAAAAUAUUAGGAAUAGAAAGCAAUGCAGAACCUUUGUCAAGUAACUAGCUCAUGAUCAUUUGCCAAUGUGCGCUCCACAAACAUCCACCAAUGAUAGGCUCUAUCCUGAAGCAUUUAUAUCGAUGGCAAAUUUGAUCUUUUCCUCAUCAGUACAUACCAUCACCCUAAAAGCUUUCUCCAUCUUGUUUAUCCAGGCCUUGGCCUCAUGGGGAUUUGUAGUACCUUUUAAUGCUAGAGG
RNAcentral lists this long non-coding RNA (252 nucleotides) under Elaeis guineensis (African oil palm). Its description in RNAcentral is "long non-coding RNA (EGUI_LNC009619)". The record is from RNAcentral. Lineage: Eukaryota; Viridiplantae; Streptophyta; Magnoliopsida; Arecales; Arecaceae.